This is a long non-coding RNA of Lathyrus oleraceus (garden pea), 283 nucleotides long. RefSeq lists it as uncharacterized. NCBI's taxonomy places the organism in Eukaryota, Viridiplantae, Streptophyta, Magnoliopsida, Fabales, Fabaceae. The transcript has 3 exons. The record is from RefSeq and is a predicted model, not a curated record.
GGUUAAAGCCGUCUUUUACCUAUUUCAAAGACUUGAACCUCAUGGAAGAUUUUGAGCUUUCUGAAGAUAUUAUAGCAGAAUUUGAAGAAAUUUCUUCUACAGCAAGAAGAGGAUCUUUACCGUCUCAGCCACAACCUUCUGGUUGUGCUUGAAAAAUAUGGAGUUCAACUAUGUUUUUUGAAGUCAUAUGUGACUUAUAUUUUGUGACUACUCAAUGGUCAAAUAAUAUAUAUUUUGUCCCGUAAAUGAGGGAAGAAACUGCAGUUCAGAAAGCUAAGGAAAC